AGCGAACGCUGGCGGCGUGCUUAACACAUGCAAGUCGAGUGCGUAGCCCUUUGUAGCAAUACAGAGGGUGGGCGCACGGCGCACGGGUGAGUAACACGUGGGUAACCCUGCCCUUGGUGGGGAAUAACCCCGCGAAAGCGGGGCUAAUUCCGCAUAACAUUCCGGGGACACAUGUUCUCGGACUCAAAGGAGUGAUUCGCCGGAGGAGGGGCCCGCGCCCGAUUAGCUUGUUGGUAGGGUAACGGCCACCAAGGCUUUGAUCGGUAGCCGGUCUGAGAGGAUGGCCGGCCACACUGGAACUGAGACACGGUCCAGACUCCUACGGGAGGCAGCAGUGGGGAAUCUUGCGCAAUGGGCGAAAGCCUGACGCAGCGACGCCGCGUGGGGA
RNAcentral lists this ribosomal RNA (388 nucleotides) under uncultured bacterium. RNAcentral's name for it is "bacterial SSU rRNA". It matches the Rfam family "Bacterial small subunit ribosomal RNA", at positions 28 to 407 of the family's 1533-position model. The record is from RNAcentral.